Molecule: non-coding RNA, 47 nt
Organism: Calypte anna (Anna's hummingbird)
Lineage: Eukaryota; Metazoa; Chordata; Aves; Apodiformes; Trochilidae
Source: Rfam
CCAAAGGCUCUUUUAAGAGCCACCACAAUGCCACGAGAGAGCUGUGU